Molecule: ribosomal RNA, 254 nt
Filed under: uncultured bacterium
Lineage: Bacteria
Description: partial 16S ribosomal RNA
Rfam family: Bacterial small subunit ribosomal RNA
Source: RNAcentral
GACGGGUGAGUAACGCGUGGGUAACCUGCCCUGUACAGGGGGAUAACAGCUGGAAACGGCUGCUAAUACCGCAUAAGCGCACGAGGAGACAUCUCCUUGUGUGAAAAACUCCGGUGGUACAGGAUGGGCCCGCGUCUGAUUAGCUGGUUGGCAGGGUAACGGCCUACCAAGGCAACGAUCAGUAGCCGGUCUGAGAGGAUGAACGGCCACAUUGGAACUGAGACACGGUCCAAACUCCUACGGGAGGCAGCAUG